Long non-coding RNA from Polypterus senegalus (gray bichir), 328 nucleotides. RefSeq lists it as uncharacterized. NCBI's taxonomy places the organism in Eukaryota, Metazoa, Chordata, Cladistia, Polypteriformes, Polypteridae. The record is from RefSeq and is a predicted model, not a curated record. The transcript has 4 exons.
CCUUUUUCCGGGUGAAAGUGCAUUCUCUCUCUCUUCCGGUCUCCGUUGUUGAGGAGCUUCCUGCAUUGCGGGAUGAGGGCCAAGUGGCGAAAGAAGCGCAUGCGCAGACUGAAGCGUAAAAGGAGAAAGAUGAGGCAGAGGUCUAAGUAAAUCCAUGCCAUUCAAACCUGUUGGCAGGACCUGAUUUAAACUCUGAAUUCAGAAGCUUCUGGAACUCUGACCCUUUGAUUUCACCCCUUAAAAAAAAAAAAUGUUCAGUCUUUGGUCUUUUCAUUUGAUAUGCCACAAUAAAAAUGUAUCCUCCAAACUCUGAAGAAGGGGAAAAGUC